UUGGAGUGAUACGGUAGUUCAGGUGGAGGCAACAAAUUCCAUCACCACCACGAGAGAUGGAAGACUGCAUAAGUUGGACCUGCGGGGGAAGAACGACAAGAAUUGGCAAGAUUACCAUAAAGAGUAUAUCGACAUUUUGGAUUAUAGGAUGAGAUUCUUACCCAUCCACAAACCAUUUUUCUCAUUGGACACAACGGCUUGUUUGGAGUACAUGCUCUGGUGUAGAGUCACCGAUAAGGCGUAUCUAUUAUUGGUGGAGGCAAGGAGUAAGUAACUUUAUUAGAAGAGGCAACGAUGAGCAUCCCAGUAGCGUAGGUCUGAAAAAGGUGCCGCAAUAGGUUUGUCAUCGACUCCGACCCAAUAAGCGCCACCGAUGUUUACACCAUAUACCGAUCGGUUCAUUGUACUUAUUCUUAUUUAAUUCACUAACCAUGUGUUUUUUCAGAAGCACCACACUAUGCACCAUCGUAACACCCUACUUUUACCCCUUUCACAAGUACAUAUUUUAAGGCACUUCUAUCCUUAGUAUUCUACUCCCCCAUGUCGAUAGCGAUGUCGACGUAAACGCCAAGCCAAAUGUCGACGCCAGUACCGUCACUAAUGAGGGCACCGAUACCUUCAUCGAUACCAAAUUGAUGCCCUAAUCAAUGUCACUGUAUCUGGGUUUUGUGAUAUUAUAUGGUGAUUCACAGAUAGUGUCACAAAAACACACCGUGUUAUUGUUUUAUCAAGGUAGGUCAACGGCACAACCAUUUUCUCGUGGAGUGGAGGACACAUGAUAGAAGGCUAGGAUAACAUUGC
RNAcentral lists this long non-coding RNA (801 nucleotides) under Gossypium barbadense (sea-island cotton). RNAcentral describes it as "long non-coding RNA (GBAR_LNC005075)". Lineage: Eukaryota; Viridiplantae; Streptophyta; Magnoliopsida; Malvales; Malvaceae. The record is from RNAcentral.